Molecule: ribosomal RNA, 421 nt
Filed under: uncultured bacterium
Lineage: Bacteria
Description: SSU rRNA
Rfam family: Bacterial small subunit ribosomal RNA
Source: RNAcentral
GAUGGGCGCAGCCUGACCCAGCAACGCCGCGUGAAGGAAGAAGGCUUUCGGGUUGUAAACUUCUUUUAUUAAGGACGAAAAAUGACGGUACUUAAUGAAUAAGCUCCGGCUAACUACGUGCCAGCAGCCGCGGUAAUACGUAGGGAGCAAGCGUUGUCCGGAUUUACUGGGUGUAAAGGGUGCGUAGGCGGCUUUGCAAGUCAGAUGUGAAAUCUAUGGGCUCAACCCAUAAACUGCAUUUGAAACUGUAGAGCUUGAGUGAAGUAGAGGCAGGCGGAAUUCCCCGUGUAGCGGUGAAAUGCGUAGAGAUGGGGAGGAACACCAGUGGCGAAGGCGGCCUGCUGGGCUUUAACUGACGCUGAGGCACGAAAGCGUGGGUAGCAAACAGGAUUAGAUACCCUGGUAGUCCAAGGGCGAAUUC